Molecule: ribosomal RNA, 1845 nt
Filed under: Triticum aestivum (bread wheat)
Lineage: Eukaryota; Viridiplantae; Streptophyta; Magnoliopsida; Poales; Poaceae
Description: partial small subunit ribosomal RNA
Source: RNAcentral
AUGGACGUGGCGGGGGCGCAGGCGCGCGCGCUGCCGCUCCUCCUCGGCCGGACGGCCGCCUUCCUCCGGUGCUCCGUCUCGUUCUCCUGCGGCGGCGCGCGGCGGAGCUGGGCGUCCUCCGCCACGGCGGAUGGGGAGGACGGCGGCCAAGACUACGAGCGGGUGGCCAUGGACACCCCCGGCGCGUACUGGCUCGUGGACUGGAGCACCGGGAAGAGCGUCAUCGUGUGGGGCGGCGUCGAUGACGGCGAGGAGCCCGGCGUGCCGUCCUCGGCGGUCCUCUCCAGGGUCACCGCCGACCGCUCCGCCCCCAAAGGUGCAGCAAAUGGGGGGAAUAAUGCAGGUGUCGGGAGCUUCGGAAGACUGAAGGCCCAGAAAGUGCAGGCUUUAGCUAGGAGAUCAGCAGUCCGCACAAGCAUCGCACGGCGUAGUGAAUCUUCUUAUGCUGAUUCUGAUGAAGAUGGAAGCAAAUCUGGAAGAAGGAAGUUUGUCCCCGACCCAGCAUGCCGCGCAAAACAAAAUGAUGACUCUAGGGAUGAGAGGAGCAGGGCCGUGCGUUCUCUGAAUUCUGUGCUGAGGCAAUACAAAGGCGACGAUGAUUCAGAUCUUUCUGAUGAGGAGGCUGCUUUUGGCCCCAAAGUUUGGGGUAAAGUUGCCGAUGCUACGUCUUAUAGAAGAGAGGAUCGGAAGCAGAAGGUCCCUUUGGACAGUGGGUUUUUCAGCCGCAGAUCUUUUAAGGAGAUUGGCUGCGGCGAUGAGAUUCUCGGUGCAUUGAGAACCUUCGGGUUUCCUCAACCAUCACACAUUCAGGCUAUGGCAUAUGGUCCUGUCUUGGAGGGGAGGAGUUGCAUUAUUGCUGAUCAGAGUGGGUCUGGCAAGACAUUGGCAUAUCUCUGCCCUAUAGUUCAAAAUUUAAGGAAGGAAGAAGCUAUCGGGAUCCACAAACCAUCUCCCAGGAACCCACGCGUCAUAAUAUUGACACCUACUGCUGAACUUUCUUCUCAGGUCCUUCAGAAUUGCCGUUCAAUAUCGAAAUCUGGGGUUCCCUUCAGGUCAAUGGUUGCGACCGGCUUUGUGCAGCUAAAUAACCUCAGAUGUGCCGUGUUCGAUGAAGUGGAUAUUUUAUUUAGUGAAGAAGGCUUUGAACAAGUGCUUCAUCAGUUGAUUACUGUCGCACCAGUGACCACACAAUAUCUUUUUGUCACUGCAACUCUUCCUCUUGAUAUAUAUAACAAGGUUGUUGAAACCUUUCCCGACUGUGAGGUGAUCAUGGGACCUAGUGUCCACCGGACAAGCGCGCGUCUUGAAGAGAUUCUUGUGGACUGCAGUGGAAAUGACAAUGAUGAAAAGAAUCCGGAAACAGCCUUUUCCAACAAGAGGACAGCACUUCUAAAGAUUAUUGAGGAAUCUCCGGUUCGUAAAACAAUCAUUUUCUGCAAUAAGAUUGAGACAUGUAGAAAGGUUGAAAAUGUGCUGACACGGCUGGACAGGAAAGCGUCACAGAUCAAGGUUCUACCGUUCCAUGCUGCAUUGGACCAGGCGAAACGCAUCGCAAACAUGAAGGAGUUCCUGAAGAAACAGACUACCGACUCGAUGUUCCUCGUGUGCACAGACAGAGCUUCGCGAGGGAUCGACUUCACAAACGUGAACCACGUGGUGCUCUUCGACUACCCCUGUGACCCGAGCGAGUACGUGCGCAGGGUCGGCAGGACAGCCCGCGGCGCAUCGGGUGACGGCAAGGCUUUCGUGUUCGCGGUGGGGAAGCAGGUGUCCCUGGCCAGGAGGGUGAUGGAGAGGAACCUCAAGGGGCACCCGCUACACGACGUCCCGUGCUUCCAGUUCUAG